GCCAUAGCCAGUCCCAAGGCACUGGAGGGAUCAGGAUUUUCCUGUUCCUUAUCCAUGACUGGGACAUGUGUUGCCUCCUGAAGAGGCCACCUCCCCAGUGCGUAAUGAUUCCAUCUGAUCUAGCUGUGCCUCUUCCUUUCUCAAGGGAUGGACAGAGAGGCUCUGUGGAAGGUGGCAUUUCCUGAAGGAAGGGAGGAGAUGCCAGGCACAGGCACAGGAGCUAACGCGGCUGGUGAAAAUGAUCUGGCUUCCGAACCCACAUUCAGGAUUGAGCCUCUGGGAGAUGCUGAGGUGAUGGACCAAAAGGCAGGACAGAAGGAGGUGUUUCCCCAAGGAAGCAGUGGCUCAUUGGCAGCCCCUGCUGCAGGAAGGAAGGCGAUGGCAGACACGGGCACAG
This is a long non-coding RNA of Passer domesticus (house sparrow), 397 nucleotides long. RefSeq lists it as uncharacterized. The transcript has 3 exons. The record is from RefSeq and is a predicted model, not a curated record. Lineage: Eukaryota; Metazoa; Chordata; Aves; Passeriformes; Passeridae.